Molecule: ribosomal RNA, 468 nt
Filed under: uncultured bacterium
Lineage: Bacteria
Description: partial 16S ribosomal RNA
Rfam family: Bacterial small subunit ribosomal RNA
Source: RNAcentral
GACGAACGCUGGCGGCGUGCUUAACACAUGCAAGUCGAACGGAAAGGCCCUGCUUUUGUGGGGUGCUCGAGUGGCGAAUGGGUGAGUAACACGUGAGUAACCUGCCCUUGACUUUGGGAUAACUUCAGGAAACUGGGGCUAAUACCGGAUAGGAGCUCCUGCUGCAUGGUGGGGGUUGGAAAGUUUCGGCGGUUGGGGAUGGACUCGCGGCUUAUCAGCUUGUUGGUGGGGUAGUGGCUUACCAAGGCUUUGACGGGUAGCCGGCCUGAGAGGGUGAACGGCGACAUUGGGACUGAGAUACGGCCCAGACUCCUACGUGAGGCAGCAGUGGGGAAUAUUGCACAAUGGGCGGAAGCCUGAUGCAGCAACGCCGCGUGCGGGAUGACGGCCUUCGGGUUGUAAACCGCUUUCGCCGGUGACGAAGCGUGAGUGACGGUAAUGGGUAAAGAAGCACCGGCUAACUACGUG